This is an RNA transcript of Sciurus carolinensis (gray squirrel), 978 nucleotides long. It is a transcript of the gene named LYR motif containing 4, with no coding region annotated. NCBI's taxonomy places the organism in Eukaryota, Metazoa, Chordata, Mammalia, Rodentia, Sciuridae. The record is from RefSeq and is a predicted model, not a curated record. The transcript is spliced from 4 exons.
UUUUUGGUUUUUCUUGUUUCUCUUUCCAAAAUGGCAGCCACCAGCCGCGCGCAAGUGUUAGAUCUGUACCGAGCGAUGCUGAGAGAGAGCAAGCAUUUCAACGCCUAUAAUUACAGAAUGUAUGCUGUCAGGAGGAUAAGAGAUGCCUUCAGAGAAAAUAAAAAUGUAAAGGACCCUGUAGAAAUUCAAAACCUAGUGAAUAAAGCCAAAAGAGACCUUGAAAUAAUUCGUCGACAGGGACUAAACCUCAGCUAGAAGACCUGAAUGCUGGGAGCUGGAAUCAUCUUCUUCAUUACUUGGCUGGCACCUGAUGCCGUCUGGCAGCUGGGGGCCUAGCCAGGACCGUCAGCCAGAACAUGCUUGCACAGCCUCUCUCUGAAGCCUGGAUUCCCUCCCAAUAUGGUGGCUGGGUUCCCAGAGCCAGGGUCCCAAGUAAGAGCCAGUCAGAAUCCAUUUUGCCUUCAGGACAUAACCUUAGGAAUUGUCAAGGUCACAGAACCUGCCCAGGCUCAAGGAGAAUGAACUGAAACUCCUGCCUAUGGAAGAAGGUCAAGCCACUUUGUAGGUUCAUAUUGGCCAACUCUAUUCAACUGACAAGCUUGUAAUUGAGAAUCAAGAGAAGCCAAGGACCUAGGGAGCAGGGAACCAGCCACCAACGGGGCCGUGGACCACCUUCAGCAUCCAUUCUGUGUGCAGGCUGGACCUCCCAACGCCAGCUGAAAAUAGCCUCUCGCUUUGCCUGCCCAGUAGGAGCUGACAAACUGAGCCACGUUUCCAUUCUGUUACAGCCUCAGUAGGAAAGAUGGCUGUGCCUUCUCGGUUCAAGUGUUGGCAUGAAGGGUGGAGGUUGCUCAGAAUAAUGCUGUGUGUUACUGUCUCCUCUCCAUCGCACCCAUCUUGUAGUUCAUCGCCAUUUGUAAAGAACAUUUACAGACUUGUUUUUCUUGGUCCUUGAAAUAAACCAGUGUCUCCCUUUUC